Molecule: ribosomal RNA, 274 nt
Filed under: uncultured bacterium
Lineage: Bacteria
Description: partial 16S ribosomal RNA
Rfam family: Archaeal small subunit ribosomal RNA
Source: RNAcentral
AAACCAGCACCUCAAGUGGUCAGGAUGAUUAUUGGGCCUAAAGCAUCCGUAGCCUGCUCUGUAAGUUUUCGGUUAAAUUUGUACGCUCAACGUACAGGCUGUCGGGAAUACUGCAGAGCUAGGGAGUGGGAGAGGUAGACGGUACUCGGGAGGAAGUGGUAAAAUGCUUUGAUCUCUCGAUGACCACCUGUGGCGAAGGCGGUCUACCAGAACACGUCCGACGGUGAGGGAUGAAAGCUGGGGGAGCAAACCGGAUUAGAAACCCCGGUAGUCC